CUAUUUCUCCUUUAACUAGUUUUCCACUCUCUCAUCCAAUUCACGCUUCACUCUCAUCUUCAAUUCCAAUUCUACCUUGAUGACUUAUUCUUGUUUCUUGAUUUUAUAAUUUUGCUCCAAUAUUAUUUUUUUGCUCGCUUCCACUUACCUUUUUAAGCUACCCUCAUCUUCGAGCUUAAUCACCGUAAGUUGCAGCUGAGAAAUUUGAUCCAAUAUAACUUCCUUAAGACUCCACCCUUCCGUUACACCCCAUUGAAAUCCUAAUUGAUUGUUUUCCCUUGAAACUGGUAUUGGUGUCGUCAUCUCUAUUGUCGGCCAAAUUGGAACUCGCUCUGGUGUAGAUAUUGGUCUUACUUCUAGUUCUGCCACUCUGCUGGAUUCUCCCACUUCAUAAACCAUUACCCUUGGUCUAACCAUUUCUAUUUGUAAACUUUGAACUACUUCCAUCUUUGAUUUCGUUCGAGAGACGACAU
RNAcentral lists this long non-coding RNA (473 nucleotides) under Physcomitrium patens. Its description in RNAcentral is "long non-coding RNA (PPAT_LNC001233)". Lineage: Eukaryota; Viridiplantae; Streptophyta; Bryopsida; Funariales; Funariaceae. The record is from RNAcentral.